UCGGGAAUUUUGUGCAAUGGGCGAAAGCCUGACACAGCAACGCCGCGUGAAGGAUGAAGUAUUUCGGUAUGUAAACUUCGAAAGAAUAGGAAGAAUAAAUGACGGUACUAUUUAUAAGGUCCGGCUAACUACGUGCCAGCAGCCGCGGUAAUACGUAGGGACCAAGCGUUGUUCGGAUUUACUGGGCGUAAAGGGCGCGUAGGCGGCAAUUCAAGUCAUCUGUGAAAUCUCCGGGCUUAACUCGGAACGGUCAGAUGAUACUGCUUUGCUAGAGUGCAGAAGGGGCAAUCGGAAUUCUUGGUGUAGCGGUGAAAUGCGUAGAUAUCAAGAGGAACACCUGAGGUGAAGACGGGUUGCUGGGCUGACACUGACGCUGAGGCGCGAAAGCCAGGGGAGCAAACGGGAUUAGAUACCCGAGUAGUCCCUGAGCGGGCUGGCAAGGCGCAU
This 447-nucleotide ribosomal RNA is filed under the name uncultured bacterium. Its description in RNAcentral is "bacterial SSU rRNA". It matches the Rfam family "Bacterial small subunit ribosomal RNA", at positions 355 to 825 of the family's 1533-position model. The record is from RNAcentral.